UGAUUUUCUGGUGGGCGGGAGAGGGUCUCCUUUCCCAACAGAGCUCGGUUUCGGGGGCGCUGCUCAAACUGGCCCAAAGGGGACCCAAAAGGAAACAAAUGGAAUCCCAGCACCGAGGGACUCCCUAGAUGGUCUGAGCUCAGACUGCGGAACUCCCACGCCGGGACUGGAGUUAUCACAGUCCUAAGUGUCCCCUGGCAGACAGCAGUGGCUGUCAGUCUGGAACUGACUGGCGGGCUCCUCAAAACAACACUUGAGUAGCUUCCCGAAAACUCCUCAGUACUGGAUUUCAUUAUGCUGGUGGACUGGAUGGAGAAGUGAUGUGAACAAAAGUAAGGAUGGCAGACAGGUCAGAGAGGUGCCCCUCCCAAGGCCUGGGCUGGAGCAAGGACCAGUCCUAGGGGGGGGUCACACCAGCUCCUCUGAAGGCCACAUGCUCAGUGAUCAGACUACAGUACCCACCGACCUCUGGUCAGAAGUUCUGCCCCAUCACUCAGACGUGACAGGAGGAGAACGA
This is a non-coding RNA of Kogia breviceps (pygmy sperm whale), 517 nucleotides long. The record is from RefSeq and is a predicted model, not a curated record. Lineage: Eukaryota; Metazoa; Chordata; Mammalia; Artiodactyla; Physeteridae.